UGUUUCGGCUAGGGGGUCAUCCCGACUUACCAACCCGAUGCAAACUACGAAUACCGAAGAAUGUUAUCACGGGAGACACACGGCGGGUGCUAACGUCCGUCGUGAAGAGGGAAACAACCCAGACCGCCAGCUAAGGUCCCAAAGUCAUGGUUAAGUGGGAAACGAUGUGGGAAGGCACAGACAGCCAGGAUGUUGGCUUAGAAGCAGCCAUCAUUUAAAGAAAGCGUAAUAGCUCACUGGUCGAGUCGGCCUGCGCGGAAGAUGUAACGGGGCUAAACCAUGCACCGAAGCUGCGGCAGCGACACUAUGUGUUGUUGGGUAGGGGAGCGUUCUGUAAGCCUGCGAAGGUGUGCUGUGAGGCAUGCUGGAGGUAUCAGAAGUGCGAAUGCUGACAUAAGUAACGAUAAAGCGGGUGAAAAGCCCGCUCGCCGGAAGACCAAGGGUUCCUGUCCAACGUUAAUCGGGGCAGGGUGAGUCGACCCCUAAGGCGAGGCCGAAAGGCGUAGUCGAUGGGAAACAGGUUAAUAUUCCUGUACUUGG
This 540-nucleotide ribosomal RNA is filed under the name Klebsiella pneumoniae. Its description in RNAcentral is "partial 23S ribosomal RNA". It matches the Rfam family "Bacterial large subunit ribosomal RNA", at positions 911 to 1448 of the family's 2925-position model. Lineage: Bacteria; Pseudomonadati; Pseudomonadota; Gammaproteobacteria; Enterobacterales; Enterobacteriaceae. The record is from RNAcentral.